Molecule: ribosomal RNA, 611 nt
Filed under: Thalassiosira antarctica
Lineage: Eukaryota; Bacillariophyta; Thalassiosirophyceae; Thalassiosirales; Thalassiosiraceae
Description: partial Bacterial large subunit ribosomal RNA
Rfam family: Bacterial large subunit ribosomal RNA
Source: RNAcentral
CCCUCGGGGGUAGAGCACUGGAUGGGCUAUGGGGACUCACCGUCUUACUGAUCCUAACCAAACUCCGAAUACCGAGGAGUACUAGUCGGCAGACACACGGCGGGUGCUAACGUCCGUCGUGAAGAGGGAAACAACCCUGACCUCCAGCUAAGGUCCCCAAGUCAUGGCUAAGUGGGAAAGGAUGUGAGACUCCCAAAACAACCAGGAUGUUGGCUUAGAAGCAGCCAUCAUUUAAAGAAAGCGUAACAGCUCACUGGUCUAAAUAAGGGGUCUUGCGCCGAAAAUGUACCGGGGCUAAAGCCAUGCACCGAAGCUGAGGAUGUGCAGUUUACUGCACGUGGUAGCGGAGCGUUCCGUAAGCCUGUGAAGGGAGACCCGUGAGGGCUCCUGGAGGUAUCGGAAGUGCGAAUGUUGACAUGAGUAACGAUAAAGGGAGUGAGAGACUCCCUCGCCGAAAGACCAAGGGUUCCUGCUUAAAGUUAAUCUGAGCAGGGUUAGCCGGCCCCUAAGGCGAGGCCGAAAGGCGUAGUCGAUGGGAACCACGUUAAUAAUCGUGGGCCUGGUGGUAGUGACGGAUCUCGUGUGUUGUAUCUCCUUAUUGGAUUGGAGGU